UAUAAGAUGCCUGAUAAAAGGGCUAUUUUGAUAGAAUAGAUAAUGUAGAAAAUCUACUCUUGUUA
This 65-nucleotide transfer RNA is filed under the name Histeroidea sp. 1 KM-2017. RNAcentral describes it as "tRNA-Ile". The record is from RNAcentral. Lineage: Eukaryota; Metazoa; Arthropoda; Insecta; Coleoptera.